GAGAGAACCACGGGAAGCCGGGGAGGGGGUUCAGAAGCAAUCCACAAAACACUUAAAGGUAAGUCUGAAGAACCGCAUUGAUGAGGUUUCAAAACGAGGGAAUGAAGUGUCAGCUAACGGGCAGAUGCAGGAAAGAGCCUGUUCAGAAAUGGAAAAGGAUGCUUUGUGUGCGAACGUCCUCCAUCACACACACAGAGUCUCACAAGCACUGAAUCCUCCUUGCCAAAUAAAGAAU
Non-coding RNA from Pelobates cultripes (western spadefoot toad), 235 nucleotides. NCBI's taxonomy places the organism in Eukaryota, Metazoa, Chordata, Amphibia, Anura, Pelobatidae. The record is from the annotation of a GenBank genome assembly.